Molecule: long non-coding RNA, 820 nt
Filed under: Callithrix jacchus (white-tufted-ear marmoset)
Lineage: Eukaryota; Metazoa; Chordata; Mammalia; Primates; Cebidae
Description: lncRNA (ENSCJAG00000076140.1)
Source: RNAcentral
GUUAUCCAAAACCAUCCCUCUUCUCUCCUGCGUGUCCUCCCACCAUCAGUAGGUUGCUAUUAGAAAUUCAUUUCAUUGCCUCUAUUUUAUUAUUUUGAAUAACACACUAUUCUAUUGAAAAGUAUUUUAGAAAUACAAUUCUUGCCGGGCCCAGUGGCUCAAGUCUGUAAUCCCAGCACUUUGGGAGGCCGAGGCGGGUGGAUCACGAGGUCAAGAGAUCGAGACCAUCCUGGUUAACAUGGUGAAACCCCGUCUCUACUAAAAAUACAAAAAAUUAGCUGUAUGUAGAUGGCACAUGCCUGUAAUCCCAGCUACUCAGGCGGCUGAGGCAGGAGAAUUGCCUGAACCCAGGAGGCGGAGGUUGCAGUGAGCCGAGAUCGCGCCAUUGCACUCCAGCCUGGGUAACAAGAGCGAAACUCCGUCUCAAAAAAAAAAAAAAAGAAAUACAAUUCUUAUAAUCAAAUUUGCAACUUUAAUGUUUUGACAAGAGCUAUGUCCCAAAAUAUCUUGUUGAUAAAAACACCGAAAUAUCUGUGACAUUCUGAGAGACACAAUGUAAAACACAAUCAGGACACAAUGUGUCUAGGUUUUAUUUUUUUCUUUUUCAUGUUUUCCAAGGCAUGAAGAGUACAGUAGAGAAGAGAGGAGUCAUGGAUGAGGGAGAGCCUUCAGCCAGGAAAGAAUCCAUGAAGGACGAGGGAAAGCGUGUCCAGCAGUUGAGGAGACAGAGACUCGCUAUUUAGGCUGUAGUGCAGUGGCACAGUCUUGGCUCACUGCAACCUCUGCCUCCCGGAUUCAAGUGAUUCUCCUGCCUUGGCCU